GAUCGGAUCGAGAUUCCGUACUCGCCAGAUCAGCUUGUUGGUGAGGUAACGGCUCACACAGAGAAUCGGAGAGUUGCUGGUCUGAGAGGACGAUCAGCCACAAGGGGGGUGAGACACGGUCCAGAAUCCUAUUGGAUGCACCAGUAUUGAAUCUUGAGCAACAGUAUAAAGCCAGAGGCAGCAAUUCCCCGUGGGGGAUGAAGGCCUUAUGGUCGCAAUCCCCUUUCAGCAGGGGAAUAACAGUCUGUACUAACAGAAGAAGCUCCGGCCAAAUACGUGCCAGCAGCGCAGGUAAGAUGUAGGGGUUCACAGUUGUCGGGACUCAUUGGGUGUAAAGAGUUUGUAGGCGGUUAAUCAAGUCAACGCUGAAACCUCAGGUCUCAACUCGGAGACGCCAUCGUAGUUGGCCGGUGACUUGAAUCCAGGGGGGAGUGUGGAAUUUUCGUCGUAGCGAAAGAGGUGCCAAUAUCAGGAGGAACAUCUAUCACAAGGCAGCACUCUUCAGUGGUUUGCCCAUGAGGAGCGAUAGCCUGGGUAGCAAACAGGAGGAGUUACGGCGGUAUUUCAGUCCCAGUGCGGCCGGCAGUCGGUGCGGGGACUUUUACCGGUUUUCGCGCUGAUACUACAUUCAUUAAGUCCCCAAGCUGGGGAGUCGGGA
RNAcentral lists this ribosomal RNA (658 nucleotides) under uncultured bacterium. RNAcentral's name for it is "bacterial SSU rRNA". It matches the Rfam family "Bacterial small subunit ribosomal RNA", at positions 213 to 886 of the family's 1533-position model. The record is from RNAcentral.